Long non-coding RNA from Daphnia pulex (common water flea), 1564 nucleotides. RefSeq lists it as uncharacterized. The transcript has 7 exons. Lineage: Eukaryota; Metazoa; Arthropoda; Branchiopoda; Diplostraca; Daphniidae. The record is from RefSeq and is a predicted model, not a curated record.
GUUAAUCAUCUGGGAGGCAAAUAGAAAAAUGUUGCCACAGCCCUGAAGGGAUUCAUCAGUCGUCAAUGCUGUAUCUAUUCAACAAUGGUAGCAACACACACAGCAAUCCAAUCAAGAACUCGGAUCUUUCGAUGUGCUUCGGUGAAGAGCAGCUGAAGAUGUGAGACGGUAUGAACUGAAGGUUGAAUCUAAUAGGAAGUUUUGUGAUGCGAAGGUCUUAACCGAAACGUUUUCUUUUCCUGUUUCGAGCAUGAUCUCCUGUCUGUUCGUGCAUAGCAAAGUCUUAUCACGGCCAUUCUCCAGUGCCUGAGGAAAAUGAAACCUCACGGCCAAAAACGAGCCUGCCUUCCCUCUGAUCAACUCACUACCUAUGUCCACAUUCCAGAAGGAGUACCUUAUUGCCAAAGGAUUGGGGCAGCUGAUUGGUUGCGGCCGAGCAAAUCCGGUGACAGAAUUGUUAUACAAACGACAUUCAACGGUACAUGGCCUCCUCCUAACGCCGACUGGCCAGCUGGUUCCAAGUGAAGAAAAACACAUUCUCUGUUCGGCUUUAUUUCGCUUUGUUGAUGGCAAACUAAAAACAAUUGCCAAAUAGCUCAAAUAGUCGGAUCAAAGUUGUGAGUCUGCCAUUGAUUACAGUGAGAUGGAGAUUGACGUUGACGUAAUCAGAGGAAGGUAUUUUGGCCAACUGAGCCACCACCACCCGACAUCGAAGGGAAAUACCAAACGAAAUUCGUCAAACUGGAGGCAACGGGUAGAAAAUUCACAAGUUGGUCCGUAUAUUCAGAUAAUUCCCCACAAAGGGGAGAGUUUUCCUUCUAUAUUAGUCGUGCCAUCAUAUUUAUUUUGCCAGUAAAACCAAAUGAUGUACAUCUGUUUGUCCAUCCAAGUAGAAAUGCAACUUGCAGACACCAUCAACGAGCUUCUGUCUAUGGAAUCCCAUCGAGAGUCUUCAAACAAACAUCGCAUGAAGCUCAUAGUUGUGCAUGUCUCUCUCUUGCUGCACUCUUUCUUCCGGAUGGAUCAGAUGACCUUAAAUUGGGACGUCUAUUGUUUCAUGAGCGGGGAGGAUGACGUUAUGCCGAACCUUGAGAUUUGUGGAGAUUGACGUCACGUAAUCAUCACAAGUUGAUAUCCCUCAAGAGACCGUGAAUGGCCGAACGCGAGACUCUGGACAAGAGAUUCAGAAAAUUCCACUCACCUGAUGAGCCACAAGUCCCCACAACACCACGUGACAUUCAUCAAAAUGGAAGCAGCAGAAGAUGGCCGGAGCUGAAAGGAGGACGACAUUUUGGGCCGGCCUGGCUCUCAUGGGCGUUCGAUUCGGCCCUUUAGCCCGUCUUACUUGGGAGGAAAACAGCUGGGAUAAUAUGGAACCCAUUACGUAAUUGUUGGCUGUUUAGUCAUAAUCCAAAUAUUGAAGCCCUCAUCAGUUCCAAUUCUUUGCUGCCACUAUAUUAAAGUGGACUGUGAGUGAGUGUGUGUGCCACUCUAGAGAUUGCAGAAAUCACCAAAAUAACUUCUCAUUUAAGAGUUAAGACGAUCUAGGAUUGAUUGUUUUGAG